AGCGGCGGACGGGUGAGUAACGCGUGGGUAACCUGCCCUAUACACAUGGAUAACAUACUGAAAAGUUUACUAAUACAUGAUAAUAUAUAUUUGCGGCAUCGCAGAUAUAUCAAAGUGUUAGCGGUAUAGGAUGGACCCGCGUCUGAUUAGCUAGUUGGUGAGAUAACUGCCCACCAAGGCGACGAUCAGUAGCCGACCUGAGAGGGUGAUCGGCCACAUUGGAACUGAGACACGGUCCAAACUCCUACGGGAGGCAGCAGUGGGGAAUAUUGCACAAUGGGCGAAAGCCUGAUGCAGCAACGCCGCGUGAACGAUGAAGGUCUUCGGAUCGUAAAGUUCUGUUGCAGGGGAAGAUAAUGACGGUACCCUGUGAGAAAGCCCCGGCUAACUACGUGCCAGCAGCCGCGGUAAUACGUAGGGGGCUAGCGUUAUCCGGAUUUACUGGGCGUAAAGGGUGCGUAGGUGGUCCUUCAAGUCGGUGGUUAAAGGCUACGGCUCAACCGUAGUAAGCCGCCGAAACUGGAGGACUUGAGUGCAGGAGAGGAAAGUGGAAUUCCCAGUGUAGCGGUGAAAUGCGUAGAUAUUGGGAGGAACACCAGUAGCGAAGGCGGCUUUCUGGACUGCA
Molecule: ribosomal RNA, 625 nt
Filed under: uncultured Peptostreptococcaceae bacterium
Lineage: Bacteria; Bacillati; Bacillota; Clostridia; Peptostreptococcales; Peptostreptococcaceae
Description: bacterial SSU rRNA
Rfam family: Bacterial small subunit ribosomal RNA
Source: RNAcentral